AUGGUAGGAUAGAGGCCUACCAUGGUGGUAACGGGUAACGGGGUGUUAGGGCACGACACCGGAGAGGGAGCCUGAGAAACGGCUACCACAUCCAAGGAAGGCAGCAGGCGCGCAAAUUACCCAAUCCCGACACGGGGAGGUAGUGACAAUAAAUAACAAUACAGGGUUCUUUGAAUCUUGUAAUUGGAAUGAGUACAAUUUAAAUCUCUUAACGAGGAACAAUUGGAGGGCAAGUCUGGUGCCAGCAGCCGCGGUAAUUCCAGCUCCAAUAGCGUAUAUUAAAGUUGUUGCAGUUAAAAAGCUCGUAGUUGAAUUUCGGGAUCAAUACGUCGGUCGUGCUUUCGGGUACGUACUGGCGUCAUUGGUUUCUCCUUUCUGACGAACCAUGAUGUCAUUAAUUUGGUGUUAUGGGGAGUUAGGACUGUUACUUUGAAAAAAUUAGAGUGUUUAAAGCAGGCAUUAGCUUGAAUACAUUAGCAUGGAAUAAUGAAAUAGGACGUUCGAUCCUAUUUUGUUGGUUUCUAGGAUCAACGUAAUGAUUAAUAGGGAUAGUUGGGGGCAUUAGUAUUCAAUUGUCAGAGGUGAAAUCCUUGGAUUUAUUGAAGACUAACUACUGCGAAAGCAUUUGCCAAGGAUGUUUUCAUUAAUCAAGAACGAAAGUUAGGGGAUCGAAGACGAUCAGAUACCGUCGUAGUCUUAACCAUAAACUAUGCCGACUAGGGAUCGGAUGAUGUUAAUUUUUUAAUGACUCAUUCGGCGCCUUACGGGAAACCAAAGUGUUUGGG
Molecule: ribosomal RNA, 785 nt
Filed under: uncultured Glomus
Lineage: Eukaryota; Fungi; Glomeromycota; Glomeromycetes; Glomerales; Glomeraceae
Description: SSU rRNA
Rfam family: Eukaryotic small subunit ribosomal RNA
Source: RNAcentral